UACGUAGGUGGCGAGCGUUGUCCGGAUUUACUGGGCGUAAAGGGAGCGUAGGCGGACUUUUAAGUGAGAUGUGAAAUACUCGGGCUCAACUUGAGUGCUGCAUUUCAAACUGGGAGUCUAGAGUGCAGGAGAGGAGAAUGGAAUUCCUAGUGUAGCGGUGAAAUGCGUAGAGAUUAGGAAGAACACCAGUGGCGAAGGCGAUUCUCUGGACUGUAACUGACGCUGAGGCUCGAAAGCGUGGGGAGCAAAUAGG
RNAcentral lists this ribosomal RNA (253 nucleotides) under uncultured bacterium. RNAcentral describes it as "partial 16S ribosomal RNA". It matches the Rfam family "Bacterial small subunit ribosomal RNA", at positions 524 to 776 of the family's 1533-position model. The record is from RNAcentral.